UCCACAUUUAGAGAGGUUUUGUAUCACUGGCCUCACUCUGGGCUUUUAUUUGCCCUGGAUGGGCUCAGAUGGACCAUGUGUAACUUGCAGACUGCUUUCUGCUGCUGCGGAAAAUUGGGCCAGGUAAAUACAACUGAGAAAAAAACCCGGGAAAGAGUUUUCCCUCUGGGAAACAGGGCAAAGCAGUCUGAAGAAACAGCCUCUUGUUAAUGAGGCACAAAAGAUAACAAAGCUUCAUUGUGCAAAACCCUCUGCUGUUCUGUACUUGGGGAUUUUCGCCCAUCUCCUCCCUUUCCUCUCAUCACUAACAGCCCUGUAAAAAUGCAAAGUACUUCACAAAGGCAGAAAGGAGAUGUUGCCUUCGAGAUAACACAACAGAUUUGCAACUUCGGGCAAAGAGGCAUUCGCGGCUCCGAAACUCCGCUAAUGAGAGCAACCUUGCGCUUCGCGGGAAUGUUAAUCAAUUAGACACACAGAGUAUUAAUGAUGUUCUUUUGCCUAAUUAGAUUAGCAAAACACGAGUACAGCCACUUGGAUUUUCCCCUCCAGCUCUCCAGCUUGUGCUCCCAGGGAGCACCACCCAUCUGGCUGCGGGAUGCUCCGAAGGGAGGCGAUUCCCCAGGAGCGGGGAGCAGCUGGGUCCCGCCGGUGCCCACAGCCCCCUGCGCCCACCCUGGGGACGGGCAGGAGAGCGACGUGGGAAGAUUUCUAGUUCUCCCUACAGCUUUUAAAUUUCCGAGGCUGAAGGCAGAGGUUUAGCAGCUCUCAGUCCCACAGAGCUGGACCAUGUUGUCCCAGUGGAGCUCAGGGAGGAUCAGGUGCUCUCCAGCCUUGACAGGAUUCAGAAGGAAUCUAAAACCCAACUGGGCAUUCCCAGGAGCCAUCCCACGUGGAGCUACCGGGAUCUCCAGGAGAGCAAAAUAACAGAGCUAUGGAAAAAUGAGAGGAGCCUUAUCUCCAAGAGGAGCAUCAUAAGAUUUAGAGCAAGACAAGCAGAUAAGGUACCAGAAACGCAACUCCACUGACCUACAAAGUGUGAGAUCCCUGAAAAACACUGAUAAACUCAGCCUUCAUCAAUUUUCCUCCUGAUUAUCUGAUUUAUGCAGAUAGAGGCAACACACUGCUGAGGCUGAGGGCCCAGCUCUCAGCACAGAGGAAAUGAAAAGACACUGCAAGGUCUUAAUGAAGGAAUAUUCUUAGAGUGGAUCUAAAUGAAGUGUUCAAAGGAUUGCACAAAUGAUCUUCCCAGAUUGCUGGUGGGGAACUGGGGAUUAUCACAUUUAAAAAUUAAAAAAAAAAAAAAAAAAAAA
This is a long non-coding RNA of Corvus hawaiiensis (hawaiian crow), 1310 nucleotides long. RefSeq lists it as uncharacterized. The record is from RefSeq and is a predicted model, not a curated record. Lineage: Eukaryota; Metazoa; Chordata; Aves; Passeriformes; Corvidae. The transcript has 2 exons.